CAUGGCUCAGGACGAACGCUGGCGGCGUGCCUAAUACAUGCAAGUCGAGCGGACAGAUGGGAGCUUGCUCCCUGAUGUUAGCGGCGGACGGGUGAGUAACACGUGGGUAACCUGCCUGUAAGACUGGGAUAACUCCGGGAAACCGGGGCUAAUACCGGAUGGUUGUUUGAACCGCAUGGUUCAAACAUAAAAGGUGGCUUCGGCUACCACUUACAGAUGGACCCGCGGCGCAUUAGCUAGUUGGUGAGGUAACGGCUCACCAAGGCAACGAUGCGUAGCCGACCUGAGAGGGUGAUCGGCCACACUGGGACUGAGACACGGCCCAGACUCCUACGGGAGGCAGCAGUAGGGAAUCUUCCGCAAUGGACGAAAGUCUGACGGAGCAACGCCGCGUGAGUGAUGAAGGUUUUCGGAUCGUAAAGCUCUGUUGUUAGGGAAGAACAAGUACCGUUCGAAUAGGGCGGUACCUUGACGGUACCUAACCAGAAAGCCACGGCUAACUAC
Molecule: ribosomal RNA, 504 nt
Filed under: Bacillus subtilis
Lineage: Bacteria; Bacillati; Bacillota; Bacilli; Caryophanales; Bacillaceae
Description: bacterial SSU rRNA
Rfam family: Bacterial small subunit ribosomal RNA
Source: RNAcentral